This is an unclassified non-coding RNA of Pongo abelii (Sumatran orangutan), 117 nucleotides long. It matches the Rfam family "Metazoan signal recognition particle RNA". Rfam says of the family: The signal recognition particle (SRP) is a universally conserved ribonucleoprotein. It is involved in the co-translational targeting of proteins to membranes. The eukaryotic SRP consists of a 300-nucleotide 7S RNA and six proteins: SRPs 72, 68, 54, 19, 14, and 9. The record is from Ensembl. Lineage: Eukaryota; Metazoa; Chordata; Mammalia; Primates; Hominidae.
GCCGGGCGUGGUAGCGCACGCCUGUAAUCCCAGCACUUUGGGAGGCUGAGGUGGGCGGAUAACCUGAGGUCAGGAGUUCGGGACCAGCCUGACCAACAUGGUGAGAUCCCAUCUCUA